CCUGGGGGCAGCAGUGGGGAAUAUUGGACAAUGGGCGAAAGCCUGAUCCAGCCAUGCCGCGUGUGUGAAGAAGGCCUUCGGGUUGUAAAGAACUUUCAGUGGGGAAGAAAGCCUUGGGGCUAAUACCCUCGAGGAAGGACAUCACCCACAGAAGAAGCACCGGCUAACUCCGUGCCAGCAGCCGCGGUAAUACGGAGGGUGCGAGCGUUAAUCGGAAUUACUGGGCGUAAAGCGCGCGUAGGCGGUCUGAUAAGCCGGUUGUGAAAGCCCCGGGCUCAACCUGGGAACGGCAUCCGGAACUGUCAGGCUAGAGUGCAGGAGAGGAAGGUAGAAUUCCCGGUGUAGCGGUGAAAUGCGUAGAGAUCGGGAGGAAUACCAGUGGCGAAGGCGGCCUUCUGGACUGACACUGACGCUGAGGUGCGAAAGCGUGGGUAGCAAACAGGAUUAGAUACCCGGGUAGUC
RNAcentral lists this ribosomal RNA (462 nucleotides) under Vreelandella stevensii. RNAcentral's name for it is "partial 16S ribosomal RNA". It matches the Rfam family "Bacterial small subunit ribosomal RNA", at positions 341 to 795 of the family's 1533-position model. The record is from RNAcentral. Lineage: Bacteria; Pseudomonadati; Pseudomonadota; Gammaproteobacteria; Oceanospirillales; Halomonadaceae.